RNAcentral lists this ribosomal RNA (404 nucleotides) under Bacillota bacterium. Its description in RNAcentral is "Firmicutes bacterium partial 16S ribosomal RNA". It matches the Rfam family "Bacterial small subunit ribosomal RNA", at positions 355 to 776 of the family's 1533-position model. The record is from RNAcentral. Lineage: Bacteria; Bacillati; Bacillota.
UGGGGAAUAUUGGACAAUGGGCGCAAGCCUGAUCCAGCAAUGCCGCGUGAGUGAGGAAGGCCUUAGGGUUGUAAAGCUCUUUCACCCGCGACGAUGAUGACGGUAGCGGGAGAAGAAGCCCCGGCUAACUUCGUGCCAGCAGCCGCGGUAAUACGAAGGGGGCGAGCGUUGUUCGGAUUUACUGGGCGUAAAGGGCGCGCAGGCGACCACAUUUGUCAGGCGUGAAAGCCCCGGGCUUAACCUGGGAGGUGCGUUUGAGACGGUGUGGCUAGAGUUCGGGAGAGGAGCGUGGAAUUCCCAGUGUAGAGGUGAAAUUCGUAGAUAUUGGGAAGAACACCGGUGGCGAAGGCGGCGCUCUGGACCGAGACUGACGCUGAGGCGCGAAAGCGUGGGGAGCAAACAGG